CUACCAUGCAGUCGAGCGGUAGCACAGGGGAGCUUGCUCCCUGGGUGACGAGCGGCGGACGGGUGAGUAAUGUCUGGGAAACUGCCUGAUGGAGGGGGAUAACUACUGGAAACGGUAGCUAAUACCGCAUAACGUCGCAAGACCAAAGAGGGGGACCUUCGGGCCUCUUGCCAUCAGAUGUGCCCAGAUGGGAUUAGCUAGUAGGUGGGGUAAUGGCUCACCUAGGCGACGAUCCCUAGCUGGUCUGAGAGGAUGACCAGCCACACUGGAACUGAGACACGGUCCAGACUCCUACGGGAGGCAGCAGUGGGGAAUAUUGCACAAUGGGCGCAAGCCUGAUGCAGCCAUGCCGCGUGUGUGAAGAAGGCCUUCGGGUUGUAAAGCACUUUCAGCGAGGAGGAAGGUGGUGAACUUAAUACGUUCAUCAAUUGACGUUACUCGCAGAAGAAGCACCGGCUAACUCCGUGCCAGCAGCCGCGGUAAUACGGAGGGUGCAAGCGUUAAUCGGAAUUACUGGGCGUAAAGCGCACGCAGGCGGUUUGUUAAGUCAGAUGUGAAAUCCCCGGGCUCAACCUGGGAACUGCAUUUGAAACUGGCAAGCUAGAGUCUCGUAGAGGGGGGUAGAAUUCCAGGUGUAGCGGUGAAAUGCGUAGAGAUCUGGAGGAAUACCGGUGGCGAAGGCGGCCCCCUGGACGAAGACUGACGCUCAGGUGCGAAAGCGUGGGGAGCAAACAGGAUU
Molecule: ribosomal RNA, 739 nt
Filed under: uncultured bacterium
Lineage: Bacteria
Description: bacterial SSU rRNA
Rfam family: Bacterial small subunit ribosomal RNA
Source: RNAcentral